AAUAAACUCCAUCUUUAACAGUCACACAGAUUUCAGCUGCUACACCUGGAGUUUGUCCUUCUCUUGUAGGAUGAGGUGAAUAUUCCCAGUAUUUAUUGGUGAAUUGUUGUGGGAGGAGCUUCACUGCAGGUGUGAACUGUGAUCACUGUGUGAUACUGACGCCCACAGGACCAGAUCU
Molecule: long non-coding RNA, 178 nt
Organism: Megalobrama amblycephala (Wuchang bream)
Lineage: Eukaryota; Metazoa; Chordata; Actinopteri; Cypriniformes; Xenocyprididae
Exons: 2
Source: RefSeq, a predicted model, not a curated record